GUCCCUGUAGCGCAAUAGAUAGCACGUUGGACUUCUAAUCCAGAGGUGGUGGGUUCGAAUCCCACCUGGGAUG
Molecule: transfer RNA, 73 nt
Filed under: Trichonephila clavata
Lineage: Eukaryota; Metazoa; Arthropoda; Arachnida; Araneae; Nephilidae
Rfam family: tRNA
About the family: Transfer RNA (tRNA) molecules are approximately 80 nucleotides in length. Their secondary structure includes four short double-helical elements and three loops (D, anti-codon, and T loops).
Source: Rfam by way of RNAcentral